CUUCAGCAGCUGAGGACUGGUUUUGGUUGAGUCAGAGAUUUCCCUAGGGCAAGCCUAGGAUGAGAGUAGCAGAGAUCAGUAGCAGUAGUAGUGACUUGGUGGAGUCGAGGCAGUGCUUGAGGAAAGUACGGAUAGAUGUGGAAGGUAGUAUAUGUAACAUCGUGAUUUUUCACCCAAAUUUCUCUUUUUUUUAAAACAUUUAUUUAACAGAAUACGUUGCGGAAGACUUAUUAUGUUUAUUUCAAAACAUCACCAAUGUUACUUUCAUGUCAAAACAAACCCAUCUAAAUUUAAUGUUAACAAAAACGUAAUGAUAAAAACCCAACAUGUUUAAAUGGUAUCAUAACUAAAGAUACUAACUAAGACUACCCAAAAGCUCCCAUCCUCACCAAGGCAUCAUGUCAAGCUACCUGUUCCAACACACAAGGAAAGACAACAAGAAAAGAACAAGUAUUAGCAUAAGCUAAGUGAGUCAAUAUAGUACAAUGUCAAGAGAACACCCAUAUCAUAGAUAGAAUCACACAAAACAUCCACAUACCGUCAAAGACUCACUAACAAGACACACAACAUCACACCUCAUAACAAACAUAGGUUUAGCUCAGUUUAUUUUAAUUCUUCUUUUAGAGCUUCUCUUAUUAGUUACUCUCCUCAACACCACUGUAACUAUUUUAUUUUAUUGAUUCACCGCUUAAAUAUUAAUGUAUAAUAUUUUUUUUCCUCUCUGCUUUACGUUAAUAACUACUCACCGCUCACCGUUGUAUUUAUUAAAGUAUUACCUCCUAUUUAGGGUCUAUUUAUUCACCGCAAGAACCCCCAAAGCAAGACCAUAUUCGCUACUAACGUGACUGACACGAACCAAUACACUAAGUGAGGCGCGACUCUCACCCGUAAUCAUUGCUCCCGGUGCGCUGCGUUCGCUACUCCGACUAUGCACAUACAUGUACAUUCGUUGUCGUUAAGGACUGGUACGAGCGGUGCCAAUUUCAACAGAUACACCUCCCAAAUCCCACGUGAUAUUUGCACUGGUCCCACCGCUUGACCAACAUCACUCCAGUCCCGGUAUACCAAGGUGUACCAAGACCAUGUCCCGAGUGGUUGUCUAGAAAAAACAUUCGGCAUCACAGUUGGCUUAAGCUCUUUAUCCUAUAGGUAUCUUUCAACCCACUAGGUCAUCAUAAUAUCUGGAUUGGGUAUUUACCUAUAUCUAGGUUUCUACCCUUUGCCCCGCUAAUGUGUUCCCCUUUUCUAAUUUAAUAAUGAUUAAUUAAAUAAGGAGUUACACUUUACCCUUUCAAGUAAUCAUGUAAAUAUUAUGAAUUUUCUUUUAUUAACAUAUUACCUCUUUAAGGGUUAUUUUCAUGCAAACAUGUAAUUUCAUGAAGUUAUCACAUUUUACAUCACACACUACUUUCAUACAUAACACAUCUAUAAAGUUGAUACAAUACUAACAUGCUUGUCCUAAAACAUUGUAAACAAAUAUUUUCAAACAAGAAUUAACAUGCUCACAUAAUGUUCAUACACUUCACUCAAUCUAGCAUGACCCUAGAUCACAAAUCUCACACCAAAAAAGGAAGAGUCUAGCAUGCAACACCCUAGAUAUCUUUACACAUAAAACAUUUCAACAAUAAUGGCAUAACAAUCAAUCAUCAAAGGGGGCACAUGCAUCCUAGGUAACUAGGUUCAUCCCAAACCAUCUAAGAUAUGGGAUACUCCUAACAAUGUACUUUUAAAACCACAAGUUGACUCACCUUUGCCAAAAAUGUGACCAACUCACACUUCAAAUAUUGUAUUGGUUGAAGUAUCAACCUUGCCCCUAUUACAUUUCAAAUAACAAGGUUAUUGGAGUUCUACAAUGCCAAAGAUGAUAAAUUUAUAAGCCAAACACAUAAAUCAACUAGCAAGUAAAAUUCCCAGUUUUGGGACCCAAAAUAGCCACCUGUUUAGAGCUGUUUUAGCAAACUUAGAACCUGUAUAACUUUCGUUUUUAUUUCAUAUUACUGAAGUUCAGACUUUUAGCUUUUCAGAAUGUACUUUUUAAGGUCCAAACGAUUUUUCUACAAUUUUAUAUGAUUUUUACAAAUCUGCCUAACAAUGCAGCUAAAUUCUGACCAGCCGGUGAAAAAGGCGAUUUUCACCUAAAUUAGAAACAACAACAGGUUCUGGAAAAAUUCAUGGAUAAAAUAGACUCAAAAUGAAAACUUUGAGAGUUUACAGAUCAUUAAUUCGGUUCCUGGUUAUUUUUAUAUAAUUUUCCAACACAGGGACAGAUUGGUAAUUCUUGCUGAAUUUUCCAGCUUUGGGUUUCAAGGGCUUUUUGACCACUUAACACAUUAAGCCAUCACUAAAAACACCUAUAAGUGUAAAAAUUAACCUCUUAACAGAAAUAGCAUGAUUUAAUCAUAGAAACAUAUCCACUUGAUUCAUGGUGGAAAUUAACAUAAGUUUUAGAAAUCAACAAGAAGAAUUGUGACUCCAAAACUUUGAUCAAAACAUAAACUUGAGCAAUAAACUUAAUGAAGGUGUUCAUAAACAAUUUUGACAGCAAUAAACCAUCAAAAUUACACCCAAUAGAACUAGAAUUAAACAUAUGAACAUUCAAAGAUUGUAAGGAAGAAGAUGAUAUGAUCAAUAACACCAAAAAGAAAGGAAUUGACUAUGCUAUUAACCAAUUCUCAUCAAUUGAUGAAUGAAUUUCAAAAGAAAAGAAUCAAAGACAUACCAAGGACGAUUCCUAGCCCCAAAUUGACUCACAAAACUCGCAGCCCUUUUUCCCCUCUCCUUCACGUUCGGUUUUCUUCUUUUUCUUCCCUAGCAAUCGUCGAUGACUACUUCACGCCUAAAUAUGAUUGAUCGUUUUUUUUUCUCCUUGUUACUUGACACACAACAUAAACAAUUGGGGAAAUUUAUUUUGAUCGAUUGAUAUGGCCCCAAGACAUCAAAACUGCUAAUCCGCA
This 2954-nucleotide long non-coding RNA is filed under the name Lactuca sativa (garden lettuce). Its description in RNAcentral is "long non-coding RNA (LSAT_LNC000079)". Lineage: Eukaryota; Viridiplantae; Streptophyta; Magnoliopsida; Asterales; Asteraceae. The record is from RNAcentral.